GGUAGAUAAAAGUAAAAAAAAUACCACUGUGGACUGAAGUCUGAGUGACUGGGGAGAAAUGAGAGGUGAAGUGAAAUGGCACAGAAUGUUGGGAGAAAGCAACAAGGGACAGAUCAGAAAGGCUGCUGUGCUGGCCUUCCAAAGGUCUGUAUGGGAGCCCAUCUUUCCCCUGUGAUCCUACAAGCUUUUUUCUCUCUCUGGUUGUCAGUGACAUGAGGCUCAGCUCCAGUGCUACAUGGAAUAUUUCUGAUCUAAUUCUAAUAGCCCCUACAUUUCAAGAGAUGGAUAUAAACACCAGAUGGAUAUUAGACGAAAAUUGGAUUACUCUGCCGUGAGAGAGAUAUGGAAAGGCCUUUUUCCAACCAUGCACUAGACAGAAUUGUAACACACAGGCUCCUGUCUCUGUCACACACAGUUAAAAUAAGGAGGGAUGACAUCUGCGAAGAUGUACGUAGCCAGCUCUGCACAGCGGCACACCACAGAAGCCAAGCUUGUGUGCACACCUGUGUGCACAGACCAGUUAUGGAGUUGAGUUGCAAGCAAACUGGAGCAAAGCAGCUGCAAGGUCUGAGGCAAGGCGCUGGGAGGACCCCUUGCUGCAGGAUGGGGGGAUAGAAAAUGCAGAGCAGGAACAGACAGGCUAAGCACGUCAAGCAUCUAGCUCAGUAAAGGCGCACAGGGGCUGCUCAGCAAAGGGUGCCUACAAUAACUAUUAUUUAGUCCAAAAAAAAAAAUUCAGCCCCUUUUGGAAAACAGUGGCACUGAGCUGGUGUCACCCGGUUCAGAGGCGGCUGACUUCGGUGUGCUGCAGCAAGUCUACCAGAACUACUGAGCCGCUUUCACGAGGAGGGAGGAGAGUCCUGACGGCCCGCGCCGCCCUCCGGGAAAGGAGCCGCUGGGGCGGCAGAAGCUCCUCCCUCCGCCCACCCGGACUUGCGUCACAGCAGCUGCUGGGCGGCCUCCAGCGGAGCAUGCGCCCUCGGAGUUGCGUAACCCACCCGGGCAGCUC
Molecule: long non-coding RNA, 1009 nt
Organism: Manis pentadactyla (Chinese pangolin)
Lineage: Eukaryota; Metazoa; Chordata; Mammalia; Pholidota; Manidae
Exons: 3
Source: RefSeq, a predicted model, not a curated record